AUCUAUGGUCAUACCACCCUGAAUGCAUCUGAUCUCUGAUCUUGGCAGCUAAGCAGGGUUGGACUUUGUUAUUGUUAGUACUUGGAUGAGGGAGCCAAGAUU
Molecule: ribosomal RNA, 102 nt
Filed under: Jaculus jaculus (lesser Egyptian jerboa)
Lineage: Eukaryota; Metazoa; Chordata; Mammalia; Rodentia; Dipodidae
Source: RNAcentral